GCCGCCCUUCUCUGGAAUUGCUUUGCAGUGUCCCAAGCCUGCUUCUUUGCAGAGAGGCUCUACAAAAGGUAUCCUCAAGAAAAGACGAAACUUGGUGUAGCUUCACAAAACUGUGGAAUUUUGAAUUCUAAAAGUGCCCUAUUCCAAAGACGUAUUGCCUCCUGGACUGUGUCAGACAGCCACAGAGUACAGACUUCAAAUCGACCUUCAUACCAUUUUGGUUGGAAAUAGAACCACUGGAGGCUCAUCAUGUUACAAUCAGCAAAAUGGAAAAAAAUCAAGAGGUUGAGAACACCAGUGGUCAGCCAUUCAUUAGUAAAGUUUCGUAAAGGAAGUCUCCUGUAGGGUGUAAGGUGUCUACUGGAAACCAAUAUUGCUCUCCGGAGGCUGCACGCUGAGUUACCUCUUUUCUCUACAGGCAUCUACUCCCUGUGUGCUCAAGGCUACCACUCUGCAUGAGAUACCAGUGAGAAGAAGACAGAAAUGCAGAUAAAAUUUGGGGGUUUGGACUCAGAGAUCCAAUACCAGAGAGAGAGCAGCAAACAUCUGGCAAAGCAUCUUGAAAAUCUGGCUGAACAAUUUUUAAAAGUAUUUAUCUGUUGUAUCCUAUAGCUUAAAUCACUAUACAACUUUCCUAAAAAUCUGUAUCUUACCUGAGAAUAAGUCAUAACUUUGCCAGUGUUAAGAUAUUAGAGACACUGGACAUUGUAUGCUGUGUCUGUGACCUAUUUCAAUAUGGAUGAGCCAACAACGGCCAUCUUUGUCUUGAGUAGUGUUCAUGUAAUUGAAAAUAUGCCAACUCCCUUUAAAACAUCAUCAACAGACUUCCUAAUUAAGUUGCCGAUACGAACUGUCAAUAACACUGUGUGCUGUUUGAGAAAUAAAUAGUGUUGCUUGAACCUUGUCAAAUAAACGGUGCUGUCCCUAUA
Long non-coding RNA from Microtus ochrogaster (prairie vole), 929 nucleotides. RefSeq lists it as uncharacterized. Lineage: Eukaryota; Metazoa; Chordata; Mammalia; Rodentia; Cricetidae. The transcript is spliced from 3 exons. The record is from RefSeq and is a predicted model, not a curated record.